Oreochromis niloticus (Nile tilapia) is the source of this 1927-nucleotide long non-coding RNA. The record is from Ensembl. NCBI's taxonomy places the organism in Eukaryota, Metazoa, Chordata, Actinopteri, Cichliformes, Cichlidae.
GCUCUUUAGUAAAAUAAAUUGCUUGUUAGCAGGAAGUGUGCUAUUCUGGUAGUAAAAAGAACAAAAAUGUAUUCAAAUAAAGAAGCAAAGAGUAAGAUAUGGAGGGUGAGGUACUUAGCCUAGCCAAGUAAAGCUAGUCUAUGGCUUCUUUUCCUUCUGGAUAGGUCAUGUCCUCAAGCUAGAUUAGCAGGAGCAUUUCCAUCUACAAAGGGAGAGACAAAGUCUAUGUUAUGAAGAAGGAGAAGGGAAGUGGAGCAACCUGACCCAAAACUCAACAAAAAAAGAUUGAGUGUGAGGGUUGUCUGGGACCACUUUUAAGUUUGCUAACUCACUGUUGUGCUAGAUUUAAGCAGAGAAACUACAAAGUUAACCAUAGAGGCGCUGACAGCAGUGCACAUUUCGCAUGCUAUUGCAGAAGUUGCCUAACUUUAAAUCCAAGCUGUAAGUCAUAUUGACAACUUACAGCUGUUUUCUGGGAGACAACGGUUUCCGAAUCAAGUCCACUGUGUGCGCUUUGAAAGAGGUCAACUGUAAAAGUAAAGCUUUGCAUGCAAAAGAAAAAAAAAAAAACUUCCUCAAAUACAUGCCACAGUUUUACCUUCAUGGGUUGCUUUUUGGUUGUGUUUUUGAUUCUCCAUCCAGGUAAGUACAACAGAGAAUUUUAUCAAGGUGCUGGAAGGAAAACCAUGUCGCCUUAUAGCACAUAUUACUCCACUGAAGCAGAACUUGGAUCACUCACGAGUAUAAAAGACAGUCCCAAUCCCAGGAAUAAUUUAGUCUUAUUCCAUAGCUCUACAUGCCAUUAGUGUGUACACUUCAGUAAGGAGGAUCACUCGCCACGCAACAGCGGUCUGCUUUUCCAAGCUUCCCAGCAGCACCCUGCUUUAACCUAGAUCGCCAUCUAGUGAUGGUGUGCUGUACACCACCCUCAACACACAGUCCAAGCACAUCAGAGAAAUAAGAGUGACUGUAUGGAAUUACAUGUGUUUUUUCUUUUAAGUGUAUGUCUGUGUGUGUGUGUGAUUGCAGAAAUCUGCUUUUCAUCGGACAUCGCUGUGAGCGGCUGAUUGACUGCUGGACCGAGGAUCGAUUCAUUGUCGUUGCUGGUGUCGACAGUUAAGGCAGUAAUUUCCACAGUGGUUUUCUACAAACAAAAACACGUUAGUUACAAAUUGCAUUCAACAAUCGUCUUCUUCCUCAUGUCUUGAUUUUGUAAAUGCAGUUUUAGACUUUCGUCAGAGGAAUUUUGAAUGGAGCCGAUAAAACCUGUUUUGGGUGUUGAAUCUUGUUCUUUAUUGAAGAUUUCUUUGAACUGUGGCGAAAUAAUUCUUAAUGUUCUUUGUUACUAGUGUAUCCACAAGAUGUUUAGAAUUUAAAAACUUUUUUCAGCUUGUCGUUGGCGCACUUUUGAAUAGGACAGCUUGUUUUUCAGCACCGUACCCCACCUACUUUUAGAAUUUAGGAAACCUUUAUUUUGACCUUUUUUUCAGAUGCAAUUUUGAAUGGAAAAUUCAUGGAUUAAUUAAAGUGAAUUGCCUGAAUUAAGUCAAAGCACAAAACUAUGAAAAACUGACUUAAAUUCAAAGUACCGGUUGUGUGGCGUGUACACGUCUUCCAGGAAGUAAGAAAGACUUUUUUUUCCUUUCAUGAAUUUACAUAUGUUCCUGCUCCUUUUUUUCCCUGAGUGUAUGUACAAAUGUCUUAGUUUUCCAGCUGUAGCUCCAUACGUGUGUGUGCGAGUGUGUGUGCGUGCACAGGCCAUGCACCACACCUCUCCAUAAUGAAAUCAUGCGGGUCAGUGAGGCCAGCGAGGCUCGGGCAGGUCACCCAACAGAUCGGAACUAAGCUGCUUUGACCCAGCCUGGUACUGAAUGCCAAACACACACACAAACGCACACCAUGCACGGCGCUUACAACACAAUGGAAC